UACGUAGGGUGCAAGCGUUAAUCGGAAUUACUGGGCGUAAAGCGUGCGCAGGCGGUUAUGUAAGACAGUUGUGAAAUCCCCGGGCUCAACCUGGGAACUGCAUCUGUGACUGCAUAGCUAGAGUACGGUAGAGGGGGAUGAGAUUCCGCGUGUAGCAGUGAAAUGCGUAGAUAUGCGGAGGAACACCGAUGGCGAAGGCAGCCCCCUGGGCUGACACUGACGCUCAGGCACGAAAGCGUGGGGAGCAAACAGG
This 253-nucleotide ribosomal RNA is filed under the name uncultured bacterium. RNAcentral's name for it is "partial 16S ribosomal RNA". It matches the Rfam family "Bacterial small subunit ribosomal RNA", at positions 524 to 776 of the family's 1533-position model. The record is from RNAcentral.